UGGGGAAUUUUGGACAAUGGACCGAAAGUUCUGAUCCAGCCAUGCCGCGUGCGGGAAGAAGGCCUUCGGGUUGUAAAACCGCUUUUGUCAGGGAAGAAAAGCGCUGGGCUAAUACCCCGGCGUCAUGACGGUACCUGAAGAAUAAGCACCGGCUAAACUACGUGCCAGCAGCCGCGGUAAUACGUAGGGUGCAAGCGUUAAUCGGAAUUACUGGGCGUAAAGCGUGCGCAGGCGGCUUUGCAAGACAGAUGUGAAAUCCCCGGGCUCAACCUGGGAACUGCAUUUGUGACUGCAAGGCUAGAGUACGGUAGAGGGGAGUGGAAUUCCGCGUGUAGCAGUGAAAUGCGUAGAUAUGCGGAGGAACACCGAUGGCGAAGGCAGCUCCCUGGACCUGUACUGACGCUCAUGCACGAAAGCGUGGGGAGCAAACAGGAUUAGAUACCCUGGUAGUCCACGCCCUAAACGAUGUCAACUGGUUGUUGGGAGGGUUUCUUCUCAGUAACGUAGCUAACGCGUGAAGUUNAAAGCCUGGGGAGUACGGCCGCAAGGUUG
Molecule: ribosomal RNA, 552 nt
Filed under: uncultured bacterium
Lineage: Bacteria
Description: bacterial SSU rRNA
Rfam family: Bacterial small subunit ribosomal RNA
Source: RNAcentral